This is a non-coding RNA of Taeniopygia guttata (zebra finch), 4237 nucleotides long. Lineage: Eukaryota; Metazoa; Chordata; Aves; Passeriformes; Estrildidae. The record is from RefSeq and is a predicted model, not a curated record.
CCCCGCGUAACCUGUGGUAACCCUCCGCCGCCAGCGCCUCAGAGCGGGGCCGGAGCGCGGCCAUUGCCCCGAGCGCUCCCCACACUCGUCCCGUCACGGGGCCGCUCUGGUCGUCCUCUCAGUGAGGACAGCGACCCAGGCCCCUGGGCACACCCUUGCCUUCACGCCGGGGCAGAGAGGCCAAAGUCAGCCCGCCACGCCCGGCCAUCACCUCAGCCCUUUCCCUCAGGCGCACCCGCCGCUGAGGGCAACGCUGAGGAGCCACCAGGGGAAGAGGGAGGACCGGAGUUGUACAGGACAAGAGCUGGGACAGUCAGCAGCACGGUGGGAAGGCAGGCUAUAAACUUGCACAUGGAAAUUAAAUUACAGAUCUGGGAAAAUAUUCAAGAGAUCAUCUGAGUCAAACAGGACAGGAACGUGUGGCUCCAAGGACCCAGGGAACACAGCCCCAAGAAGAGUUUUCACGUGGAUUUUAAGGUGUCAUUUAUCUAAAUCAGCUCCCAAAGGUAGGAGUCUGACAGCACCCUGCUCACCUCAGAGCUAUCGACUUCACUCCAGGUGUUCUGACCAUAUCCUUCCUUCCCUCCCUCCAUCACACUCAGGAUUUCCUUAGACAGGUAAACCUUCCUCAGAGGACUGGCAGACUUCCCAGUCCUUAUCACUACUGUCCUCCCAUUGGGAUUUGUAACAAAAUUAAUGGUGGCAUCAGCUGAGCUUUUAAAGGAGAAAGUGUUAGAGGGCUCUGUAGGACAGUUUCUGGCUAUGCUUAAAAUUAUUCUUGUAUUACCAGUGAAAAAUAAUGCCCUUGUGGUAAGAAAACUUGUGUGGGAUGCUUAAUGAGUAACUCAGGAGGAAGUGGACUGAAACAUGGAAGCAGAUCCCAGGAUUCCUAUCAAACAGCACUGGAAAAGCUCAGGCAUUUCAGUAGGUUUUCUGUAGGGCUGGUGCUGCUUAUCCCAGAAAAGCAAUCACAAAGCUCCAGCCUACCUCCUAGAUUUGUCCUUUAACACAAAGUAACAGCUUCCCCAUUAAUAACGCCAUCAACCCAAAUUUGCAUCUGCAAUUGCCCAAAUUAGCUAAUUAAAGCUCCCAUCCCCAGCGUGGCGGAGUGAGGGAGGUCACGCGCUGCUGCAGCUCCUGCCAAGCAGGAGCCAGCUCUGGAGGGAAGGACAGCAGCUCUGCCUUCCCCAGUGCCUGAGCAGGCAGUGACUGCAGCCAGGCCCGGGAAAUGCCGCAUUCAAAUAAAACUGGGAGGGAGGAGUGUCAGGGAAUUGCUUAGGAAUACAGCUGGAGCCAAGCCAGCACUUAGUAUGCAUGCAGGCUGGUGCUGUAUGAAUGGUAAAAAUAGCAGCAGAUGCUUAGAUAAGAAAAUACAAUUUGGUUUACAUGCAAAGCCAUCACAGAGCGUGGUUCAAAAAUCUACCCGCUAUCAGAUGACAGGAAGAUUAAGGCCAAGAGCUUAUUUUGGUGUAAAUUUAAUUGCAAGGCCUUCUCUUUCUUCAAGAGGUCUCACUUCACUUUGGAAAACCUUUCUGCUCCAGCAUUAGAAAGGUGAGUUUAAUUGAGGCAUUAUGUCACAGAAGCAGAGUCUGAAGGGAUGGCAAGAGUAUGGUCAAAGGGCACAGUGAUUGCUUUGGUUUGGAAAUCAGUGGGCAAGGUACACUGAUAUUUUAGGUACACCUACACACAUGCACAGCCAGCCUAGUUCCCACAGGCAGGAUCACAUCCCUGAGCUCUGAUACAUUCCUGCCUCCAACACAAAACACACCCUGGACUGACAGGACACAGUGACCCUGUGAAGCAGAGAAUGAUUCUUCACUCAGGAAGAGCCACCUGCAACCAGGAGCAGCUGCUUUGCAACAAGUCUGACUUGGGGACAGAGCUGAACUCCCAAGGGUGGUUCAUUUCCUUUAGCACAAGCACCCCAAAAAACUUGGAAACCAGGCAGGCUUCUUGGCUGUCACCAAUGACCUGCUCCUCUUCUUCCCAAGGGAAGAUUUAUCAGCUAGCUUUAAACCACCCUGUCCCACAUUUACCUCAGUGAAUUACAAAAGGCUUUGUUUAUGCAGUGGCCUUCACUGUCAGCAAGAACCAGCUGGAGGAAGCACCCUAAUGAAAGAGCAGGUAUGGGAUACUGAGCUCUUCCCAAAAGAUCCCAUAGAGAUACCUCCCUGCUGACUUGGCUGGCAGAAGGAGAUACUCACAGGAACUACAAAUUGUCUUCUCAGUCAUAUCAAAGAUUUAACCCUUUUUUCCAGUCUCUGUCUCACCUGAACACUUGCAGACAAGCAAAAGGCCAUUACUGCACAAUCUUAAUUCUCCAAAGCAAUCCUGCCAGCAGGGAUAAAGUCCUAAAAUGCAUCUUCUGCAGCUGGGAAGCAUUUGAGACCCAAACUCCUGUUCUGAGUUGUAAUAAUCACUGCAUCUGAAGGCUAUGGGGAAUGUUUUGACCUUCAUGCUAACCCACUGCAACUAAAUCUGACAGUAUAAUUUCUGCUCCUUAUUAAUCCCAUCUUGAUUUUCUCUGUUUCAUAAGCAUUCUGGAAAUAAACAUUUAGUCCAGGUCUAUUUACCUCAUGAUGGCUGGAAGCCCAAACUGACUGAUAAAAAGGCUCAUAAGCAAAUUUACAAAUAUACCCAGCUAACAGUGUGAAUCCCUCUCACCCACUGGGCAAGUAAAUGCACUUGAGAAAUUCCAGGAGGAGCCAGCUCUGUGCAAUGGAAGUAUUGCUAUUUUCUGUAUUGGUCCCAGUCCUGCUGUUAACACGUAUCCAGGGCAAGGGACAAGUGGCACACAAACUUCCUGCUCCAUUCUUCCCCACCCUGUUCUUCCUUCCCCCGAGCCAGUGGUGGAUGGGAAAUGGACACUCACUCCCCUGUUCAGAGUCUCAUUUUCCCAUUCCCAAGAGCUGCUGAAACCUGAAAACUCAGCGCAGCUCCAGCAGUCAUUUGAAGUCCAGGCCUGUUGCAUCCUGAACAGAUUAGCAAAGGAGUUAUCUGCUGUGGAUGCAGAGGAUCACUGGCAGAUAAUGCUCAGCACAGCCUGCAGGGAAAUGGGAUUGUGUGGAAAGGCAAAACCUUAGUGGAAUAAUGAGAAGCCCCAAGUCCUCAUUCUCAGCAUAUCUUUGUCCCAGAUCAUGCAGCCAAGCAAUUCUGCAAUGGAAUGAUGUGCUGAAUUUUCCCAUUUUUCUCUCUCUCUGAAGGCCACACAAGGACAAUCCUCUCUGUUCCCACAAAACCCUCUUCUCCACAGGAUUCUUCACAGAGCAAGAAAGGGCACGAGCAGUCUCUGCCCUUCGCUUGCCCCUUUCAGGACAAUGGCUACUGUGAAGCUGAAAUUCCAAUAAAAACCUAGUUGAAAUGGUGGCAGAUGAGAUAUCCCUCCUGUGAUGUUCAGAGGAACUCAUCCUGCAAUGUACAGCUCUUAAUAAGAACUAAAUUAAAAUUUCCUUAAAUAAAUAUAAAGAAAGAGUCCAUGAGGAAGAGUUGCCAGUGGGAACACGGAGCCGUGUUUGGGUCAAUCUCUUCAUCCAUCUCCUUGGAGAUCUCCCAGGACUGUGCUGAGGGCAGGACCAGCAGCUCCAUGUCACUGUUCCUAUCGACGCCAUCUGGAAAGGGAAAGAGCUGCUGUGUCCCUGUGGUGGGGCACAGCUCUGCCACAGGGCCCAGCAGGCACCAGACAAGAGCAGCACCGCAGGGACCUGGGGUCACCAGCCACAGUCAAAUGGCAACCAGCUCCCAGGAAUUUGUCUGCAUAACUGAGAGGGAAGAAGGUCAGAAAGGAAAACCUGAUCAGCUGGUGCAACUGUUCCUUUCCCUCUCCAGGAGUCAAAAUAUCUGAGUCAGAUUUCAUCCUGACUGCUUGGUUGGAGAGGCUCUGCUUUCUAGUUAUCUCCCAGCUACAGUUCCUGCCCUGAGAGAGGUCAGGUCUCCCAGCUGGAAUCUGACACAGUGCUCUCUGCAAGGAGAUCAUGCCCUAACCACACAGGUCUCUGCAAGGGCACUGUGGCUCUGAGGGACACACGGAGUAGCUGCAACAUCCUCGUGGACACACAGGUUACUCACAUCCGCAAGCACUUGUCCUUCCCUCCGCUCGCUACCCUCUGUCCGUCCGGGCUCCAAUCCGCUGCAUACACCUGGUGUGAUGGAAAUCAGUCACCUGUGCUGGGAGGAGGGCUCACUGCUGCCUCCCAAACAGCCCAGCUCCACCAGGCAGCUCACCUCAUCCGCAUGGCCA